ACUCCUACGGGAGGCAGCAGUGGGGAAUAUUGCACAAUGGGCGCAAGCCUGAUGCAGCCAUGCCGCGUGUAUGAAGAAGGCCUUCGGUUGUAAGUACUUUCAGCAGUGAGGAAGGCGGAGUCGUUAAUAGCGGCCUCGUUUGACGUUAGCUGCAGAAGAAGCACCGGCUAACUCCGUGCCAGCAGCCGCGGUAAUACGGAGGGUGCGAGCGUUAAUCGGAAUUACUGGGCGUAAAGCGCAUGCAGGUGGUUUGUUAAGUCAGAUGUGAAAGCCCGGGGCUCAACCUCGGAAUUGCAUUUGAAACUGGCAGACUAGAGUACUGUAGAGGGGGGUAGAAUUUCAGGUGUAGCGGUGAAAUGCGUAGAGAUCUGAAGGAAU
RNAcentral lists this ribosomal RNA (378 nucleotides) under uncultured bacterium. Its description in RNAcentral is "bacterial SSU rRNA". It matches the Rfam family "Bacterial small subunit ribosomal RNA", at positions 335 to 707 of the family's 1533-position model. The record is from RNAcentral.